This is a long non-coding RNA of Lolium rigidum, 3129 nucleotides long. RefSeq lists it as uncharacterized. The transcript has 3 exons. NCBI's taxonomy places the organism in Eukaryota, Viridiplantae, Streptophyta, Magnoliopsida, Poales, Poaceae. The record is from RefSeq and is a predicted model, not a curated record.
CUACCUCUGUCAUCCUUCAUCCACCCGCAUCGUCAACGCCUCUCUAUCCUCUCCCAGUCUCCCUCCCUCUACACACCACAGAUCCGUUCCUCGCUGCCACCGCUUGAAUUCCGGACACAUGCCCCGCGCAUGGAGGCGGCCAUGUCGAGACCCUUCACCUGGCUGCGACGUCCUCCACGAGAUUCGUGAACACCGCAGCGUCUCCUCGCACCGAUUACUCCUACGUGGGUUUCGUGGCCGCCGCCUCCAUGCGCCUCAAGCUCUGCGACGAGACCGGAUCCAGGGUCGUGAGCGACCACGAUGCUGCGUUCGUCGCCGACCACGAUGUUGCGGACCCGGUGGCUAUGCUGGAGUACAGGGAGCACCUGCUGUGGGAGGCGUGGAUCCAGAGGCGUGGAUCCAGAUCGAGAUGGCCACCGUGUUGAGGGCAUCGCUCGCGGCGCAUCCCAGGUUCGUCGACCAGUACCUCGAGUCAACUAGCAGCGUCAGCUGGGGCAAGGACCACCUCCCGCCCGACCUGCGUGCGGAGCAGGAGAUUAGCCAAUUGUAGUUUGAAUCGGACCAGGUUGCCGUCAUCGGUGUGGCUGCAGAGUGGAGGAUCUAAACCAUGAUGGACUGGUGCCACAGCGGUUGACCUCCUUGACAGCUGUUCGAGUUCUUGGGCGUCACUACUUGCCAUAAUACGCGGGAAAGUAACCCAUUUCCUAUAAUUUUCUGCUGUAUUCUCAAGUCCUUUGUACACAUGUUUCUACAUGAUACCUAUGGCCAACCGAAUCAGUUUUUUGUUUCUGACGUAGAUGCUUUUGAUCUAAUAUCUUGUUUCUUCUAAUUUGUUACACACCAUAGGUAUGAGGACUAAAUUCUAAAUUCCAUGCACCAAUUUUUCUAAUUUUGUCAAAAUCAUGUAUGAUAGAGUUUAUAAUCUUUUCUUGGUUAGAUCUGGUAGUUCCGUAUUAUUCACACUUCUCAAUUUCCAGCAAAUAUCUGAGGCUAACUUUUUUUCCCCUCUUACUGCAGGUUAGUUCGAACAAUGGGUUACACUGUUGUUUUUUCUGAUAGUGCUCCUACAUGGAUACUUCAAGAUUGCUGCAAUUCUCAGAAACACUGGAGAAGGGCCUAGAGAAAAUGAUGGACUUAAAAAAUAGAUUUGGUGGCAUGAUAACUCAGAACAUAAGGAGUUGAUGGGCAUGGUGUGAUCAGCGACACAAAGAGGAAUAUGCAUGCCAAUGCUUCCCUUGGUUAGCAUACAUUGAAUUUCCAGUUCUUUUCACUUUCAUAUUUAUCUGUUGUUUUGGUGGUACACUGCAAUAUGUAUCUAACUUCUUUGAAUUUUCGGCUUUGAGCUGCCUCAUGUUAUUUCACUGUAUUUCCGCACACUUAGAUGUAAUAUAGUUUUACUGGAUCUAAAUAAGAAAGUAAUUGUUCUAAUGAGGGAGAAACAUUUUUUUAUAGCAGCUGAACGUGCAUGAGCACAUCAGCCAAUCACCUGACAUCAUCAACUUACUCCACAAAUACAUUCAAAAUUUGAAGCUGAGAUUGUGUCCCGUGUGGCAGAGAAAUGGAGAAAAAUAAUAGGGGUACAAUGUGACACGGGAUUUACUUAAAUGUGGUAAAAUGUAACAUAACUUCUUAAAUGUUGUAAAGUAGGGUCACAAGUAACUUCGUAUGCGGUAAAGUAUAUCAUGUAAAUUUGAUCAUCAUGCAAUAUGUUGCCGUACUCAGAAAUAAGAUGUGAUUGUUUAAAGGAUUUAUUUUGGAUUUCUAUUGCUUUACAAACGUAUUGUAACAAUAUGAUAGAUUUAGUGAUGGUGUUUGUCUUUAAAAAAAAGCACCAACCUGGAAACAUAUAAUUGUGUCUGUUUUGUUAUGCUUUAUCCAUGAUUGAGUUAAUAUACUUGUAAAAAGACACGGGUGCAUUCUUUAUUGCCAUUUUCUAGCAAAUAAACUAUCCUGAAUAUUUUGUCAAAAAUAUGCACAUGUGAUUAAGGUAUAUGCCUGCAAAUUAUGUGGGUACUUUACAUGUAAAGUGCAAUGUGUAUGUAAGAGGUAUUUGCUGGAAACAAAAAUUGUGUGUAUAUCGAGAUAUUUUAUGCACAAAAAGUUUAAGAAAAAGAGUAAAUGUUUUGUGGCUUGUGCAAAUAAGAUGUUUUUAUGCUCUAAUAUGGCUAUUCACAAGAUUUUUGUUUUACCUUUUUUACACACGCUACAAAAAUCUUCUUUUGUGGGAAACUUUAUGUGCAAUGUUUAGAUUUUGAAAUGUGUUUUUUUAUGUUUUUUUAUACUGGAUGCUUCUACAACUAGGAGUAAGAGACCUCCAGUGAUAAAAUUUGUAUUCACAAGAGGUGAUAUGUACUCUCUUAUUUAGUGUAAAUAACUUAAAUAUUUAUGCUCCGGUUGCGAUGUAUAGUGUACAUAUUUAUUGCUACUUUUACUAGGUGGAUCAAGAUAAUGCAAGUGGUUGAGUAUCGCCGCGGCGCCGAAGAUGGAGGUAGACUUGAGAGAUAGAAGAAUGUGUUAAAGGUGGUAUAAACAUUUUCAAAGUUUCCCUUGAGAUCAAAAAAUGUACAUGGCGAAGCGAUCGGGGUCAAAAGCCAUGGCCUCUCCCUGGUUGCUGCCGUCACAUCUGUCUGUCUUCAAACCCAAUACAUCCAUGCAAGUAUUAGUUAACAACAUAUGUUCGCACGGGUGCAGCGAGAGCGGAGGUCGAGCCAUGGACGCGGUGGUGGAGAUCUUGGCGAGAUUGCACCUCUCGCCCUGGCCGCCUUCGUCGACUUGCCGUGGUCCAGCGCCGCCACAAGGUGCUCCUCCCUUACGGGGUUGUCAUGAUCCAUUAUAUGCAACUGUGGAGUGGCCCAGGUGGAGUGGAUUUGGAUUCUACAUUAGUGGUACUAGGGAUCUGAGGAUUGAAGAAGAUGAAUCUUCUUGAGAUUGAAGUAUAUCACCUUUUCUAGAUAUAUCUAUAUUAGCAUCAAGUAAUAUGAAUUAGAGGGAAUAUCAAUUUAGUGCAAAUUCAUGCUUAAUGGAGAAUUUUAUUUCAGUGAAGUUAUUCAUGCUUAAUCAGUUUCAUACUUGAGAGGAGAUGCUCUCAAGUAUAUAUAUAUAUUUAUAUAUAUUUAUUGGAGACUCAAA